GGCAUCCUUUGGCCGAGAAGUUGGUCAAACUUGGUCAUUUAGAGGAAGUAAAAGUCGUAACAAGGUUUCCGUAGGUGAACCUGCGGAAGGAUCAUUAGUGAUUGCCUUAAUUGGCUUAUAACUAUAUCCACUUACACCUGUGAACUGUUCUACUACUUGACGCAAGUCGAGUAUUUUUACAAACAAUGUGUAAUGAACGUCGUUUUAUUAUAACAAAAUAAAACUUUCAACAACGGAUCUCUUGGCUCUCGCAUCGAUGAAGAACGCAGCGAAUUGCGAUAAGUAAUGUGAAUUGCAGAAUUCAGUGAAUCAUCGAAUCUUUGAACGCAGCUUGCGCUCUCUGGUAUUCCGGAGAGCAUGCCUGUUUCAGUGUCAUGAAAUCUCAACCACUAGGGUUUCCUAAUGGAUUGGAUUUGGGCGUCUGCGAUCUCUGAUCGCUCGCCUUAAAAGAGUUAGCAAGUUUGACAUUAAUGUCUGGUGUAAUAAGUNUCACUGGGUCCAUUGUGUUGAAGCGUGCUUCUAAUCGUCCGCAAGGACAAUUACUUUGACUCUGGCCUGAAAUCAGGUAGGACUACCCGCUGAACUNAGCAUAUCAUCNGA
RNAcentral lists this unclassified non-coding RNA (600 nucleotides) under Trichosporon japonicum. RNAcentral's name for it is "sequence contains 18S rRNA gene, ITS1, 5.8S rRNA gene, ITS2, 28S rRNA gene". The stretch from base 222 to 375 matches the Rfam family "5.8S ribosomal RNA". The record is from RNAcentral. Lineage: Eukaryota; Fungi; Basidiomycota; Tremellomycetes; Trichosporonales; Trichosporonaceae.